AUAUAUUCAUUGUGGGCCGCGAGUUUGACACCCUUGGUAUAGACUAUUAUGAACCAUAAACGAAACCUAAAAGUAUAGUUCAUUUUAAUUUUUCUUAAUAUUUUUCCAAAUAAAAGAUUUAUUUUUAUAUUUUAGGAGUCGGAACGAGAGUAAAAACAAUGCCUUAAACAACAAUACAGCUGACGCUAUAAUAGAAUCGCAUUAACAAUAUGGCAAGCAACAGGAUUCGACUGUGAUGGUUCCGGCUGAAAAUCGGUUAGAUAUGGUAUGGAUUCUUAUUUAUAAGAAACAAAUCCUCUCACUUGUGAGACCGAUUUCGGUCUACCUGUAAUUCGCUGUCGUAAUUCCAAAGGUUUAUGAUGGAAGUGUUGGGUAGAUCUGCAAUAUUUCCCAGCCACGUCGAUACUUGGUUUGAAGUCUGUGGCCAUCGUAUGGAAGUGGAGAGAAAUUAUUUCCUCCGGGGGAAUCCGGGCUCUUACAUUAGAGAUCCCCAUUCCUCAACUUUCAAAACGUCGAAUGUGUUGCUUGUAUGGGAGGCAGCGGGAUUAAUAAGCCGGUUUUGAUCCGGUCGCGAAAGGGUCCAGUUUUUUCCAUAAUAGUGAUUACUGCCUAGCU
This 615-nucleotide long non-coding RNA is filed under the name Androctonus crassicauda. The record is from RNAcentral. Lineage: Eukaryota; Metazoa; Arthropoda; Arachnida; Scorpiones; Buthidae.